GGCUCGGGGCGCUGAUGUGGGGGGGUCGCGGGGUCCCCCCCUUUAUCGCCGUGCCCCCCAGGAGGGGCCGGGAGCUGCAGGAAGCCCGGCAGGGCCAGGUGUGGGGUGGCAGCCUAGGACCUGCCCUCGUUGGGGUUGUACUCCGUCUCGCCAGCCGAAACCUGCGAGAUGCGGCGCGUGGAGCGCCACAGCCGCCGGUGGAACUGGCCCGGACGCACCUAGGGGAGAGGGGGGUUAAGAACCCACCCCAUGACCCAUCCCUUUCCAUGUCCCCGUCCCCAUCCCCUUCCAUUUUCCCACCCCUAUCCUCAUGCACAGCUGCAUGCUCACCCUUUCUCAAUUCCCAUCCCCAGUCCUGUCUCCAUCCCGUUCCAAUUCCCAUCCUUAUCCUUUCUGCAUCCUCUUCCCCAUCCCCAUCUCCAAUCCCUUCUUUAUCCCUACCCACAACCCCUAUCUGAAUCCCCAUUCCCAUCCAAACCCCAUCUCCUUCCUUGUGCGAAUCCCCAUCCCAUCCUGUCCCACUCCAUGACAUUCAUCCCGCCUGUCCCACCCUACCCCAAUACAUCCCAAUCCAUCCCACUCCAACCCUCUCAUCCCACCCCAAUCCAUCUAUCCCAUCCAAAUCCAAACCAUCCCAUCCCAUCUCAACUCAACCCAACCCACCUAUCCCAUCCCAUUCCAUCCCAAUCCUACCCAGCCCAACCCAACUCAACCCACCCAUCCCAUCCAAAUCAUCCCAUCCCAUCCCAACUCAACCCAACCCACCUAUCCCAUCCCAUUCCACCCCAAUCCAACCCAGCCCAACCCACCCUUCCCAUCCCAAUCCAAGCCAUCCCAUCCCAACUCAACCUAAUCCUCCCAUCCCAUCCCAAUCCAACAAAACCCAACCCAACAAAAUCCACCCAUCCCAUCCCAAUCCAAGCCAUCCCAUCCCAACGCAACCCAACCCACCCAUCCCAUUCCAUCCCAAUCCAACACACCCCAACCCAACUCAACCCACCCAUCCCAUCCUAAUCCAAGCCACCCCAUCCCAUCCCAACCCAUCCCAAUCCAACCCACCCCAACCCACCCAUCCAUCCCAUCCAAAUCCAAGCCAUCCCAUCCUAUCCCAUCCCAACUCAACCCACCCAUC
Molecule: long non-coding RNA, 1132 nt
Filed under: Anas platyrhynchos platyrhynchos (common mallard)
Lineage: Eukaryota; Metazoa; Chordata; Aves; Anseriformes; Anatidae
Description: lncRNA (ENSAPLG00000025561.1)
Source: RNAcentral